AGAGUUUGAUCCUGGCUCAGGACGAACGCUGGCGGCGUGCCUAAUACAUGCAAGUCGAGCGGACAGGUGGGAGCUUGCUCCCUGAUGUUAGCGGCGGACGGGUGAGUAACACGUGGGUAACCUGCCUGUAAGACUGGGAUAACUCCGGGAAACCGGGGCUAAUACCGGAUGGUUGUUUGAACCGCAUGGUUCAAACAUAAAAGGUGGCUUCGGCUACCACUUACAGAUGGACCCGCGGCGCAUUAGCUAGUUGGUGAGGUAACGGCUCACCAAGGCAACGAUGCGUAGCCGACCUGAGAGGGUGAUCGGCCACACUGGGACUGAGACACGGCCCAUACUCCUACGGGAGGCAGCAGUAGGGAAUCUUCCGCAAUGGACGAAAGUCUGACGGAGCAACGCCGCGUGAGUGAUGAAGGUUUUCGGAUCGUAAAGCUCUGUUGUUAGGGAAGAACAAGUACCGUUCGAACAGGGCGGUACCUUGACGGUACCUAACCAGAAAGCCACGGCUAACUACGUGCCAGCAGCCGCGGUAAUACGUAGGUGGCAAGCGUUUUCCGGAAUUAUUGGGCGUAAAGGGCUCGCAGGCGGUUUCUUAAGUCUGAUGUGAAAGCCCCCGGCUCAACCGGGGAGGGUCCUUGGAAACUGGGGAACUUGAGUGCAGAAGAGGAGAGUGGAAUUCCACGUGUAGCGGUGAAAUGCGUAGAGAUGUGGAGGAACACCAGUGGCGAAGGCGACUCUCUGGUCUGUAACUGACGCUGAGGAGCGAAAGCGUGGGGAGCGAACAGGAUUAGAUACCCUGGUAGUCCACGCCGUAAACGAUGAGUGCUAAGUGUUAGGGGGUUUCCGCCCCUUAGUGCUGCAGCUAACGCAUUAAGCAUUCCGCCUGGGGAGUACGGUCGCAAGACUGAGACUCAAAGGAAUUGACGGGGGCCCGCACAAGCGGUGGAGCAUGUGGUUUAAUUCGAAGCAACGCGAAGAACCUUACCAGGUCUUGACAUCCUCUGACAAUCCUAGAGAUAGGACGUCCCCUUCGGGGGCAGAGUGACAGGUGGUGCAUGGUUGUCGUCAGCUCGUGUCGUGAGAUGUUGGGUUAAGUCCCGCAACGAGCGCAACCCUUGAUCUUAGUUGCCAGCAUUCAGUUGGGCACUCUAAGGUGACUGCCGGUGACAAACCGGAGGAAGGUGGGGAUGACGUCAAAUCAUCAUGCCCCUUAUGACCUGGGCUACACACGUGCUACAAUGGACAGAACAAAGGGCAGCGAAACCGCGAGGUUAAGCCAAUCCCACAAAUCUGUUCUCAGUUCGGAUCGCAGUCUGCAACUUGACUGCGUGAAGCUGGAAUCGCUAGUAAUCGCGGAUCAGCAUGCCGCGGUGAAUACGUUCCCGGGCCUUGUACACACCGCCCGUCACACCACGAGAGUUUGUAACACCCGAAGUCGGUGAGGUAACCUUUUAGGAGCCAGCCGCCGAAGGUGGGACAGAUGAUUGGGGUGAAGUCGUAACAAGGU
RNAcentral lists this ribosomal RNA (1507 nucleotides) under metagenome. Its description in RNAcentral is "bacterial SSU rRNA". It matches the Rfam family "Bacterial small subunit ribosomal RNA". The record is from RNAcentral.